UACGUAGGGUCCGAGCGUUGUCCGGAAUUAUUGGGCGUAAAGGGCUCGUAGGCGGUGUGUCACGUCGGCCGUGAAAACCUGCAGCUUAACUGUGGGCGUGCGGUCGAUACGGGCAUCACUGGAGUUCGGCAGGGGAGACUGGAAUUCCUGGUGUAGCGGUGAAAUGCGCAGAUAUCAGGAGGAACACCGGUGGCGAAGGCGGGUCUCUGGGCCGAUACUGACGCUGAGGAGCGAAAGCGUGGGGAGCAAACAGG
RNAcentral lists this ribosomal RNA (254 nucleotides) under uncultured bacterium. RNAcentral's name for it is "partial 16S ribosomal RNA". It matches the Rfam family "Bacterial small subunit ribosomal RNA", at positions 524 to 776 of the family's 1533-position model. The record is from RNAcentral.